Molecule: microRNA precursor, 89 nt
Organism: Sorghum bicolor (sorghum)
Lineage: Eukaryota; Viridiplantae; Streptophyta; Magnoliopsida; Poales; Poaceae
Rfam family: mir-160 microRNA precursor family
About the family: The hairpin precursors (represented here) are predicted based on base pairing and cross-species conservation -- their extents are not known.
Source: Rfam
AUGUGCCUGGCUCCCUGUAUGCCACUCAUCUAGAUCAACAACUACCUAUGGUUGCCUAUGAUGGUUGGCGUGCACGGUGCCAAGCAUAU